RNAcentral lists this ribosomal RNA (257 nucleotides) under uncultured bacterium. RNAcentral describes it as "partial 16S ribosomal RNA". It matches the Rfam family "Bacterial small subunit ribosomal RNA", at positions 96 to 354 of the family's 1533-position model. The record is from RNAcentral.
CGGCGACGGGUGAGUAACGCGUGGAUAACCUGCCUCAUACAGGGGGAUAACAGUUAGAAAUGACUGCUAAUACCGCAUAAGCGCACAGGACCGCAUGGUCCGGUGUGAAAAACUCCGGUGGUAUGGGAUGGAUCCGCGUCUGAUUAGCUGGUUGGUGAGGUAACGGCCCACCAAGGCGACGAUCAGUAGCCGACCUGAGAGGGUGGCCGGCCACAUUGGGACUGAGACACGGCCCAAACUCCUACGGAAGGCAGCAG